GACGAACGCUGGCGGCGUGCCUAAUACAUGCAAGUUGAGCGCUGAAGGUUGGUACUUGUACCAACUGGAUGAGCAGCGAACGGGUGAGUAACGCGUGGGGAAUCUGCCUUUGAGCGGGGGACAACAUUUGGAAACGAAUGCUAAUACCGCAUAAAAACUUUAAACACAAGUUUUAAGUUUGAAAGAUGCAAUUGCAUCACUCAAAGAUGAUCCCGCGUUGUAUUAGCUAGUUGGUGAGGUAAAGGCUCACCAAGGCGAUGAUACAUAGCCGACCUGAGAGGGUGAUCGGCCACAUUGGGACUGAGACACGGCCCAAACUCCUACGGGAGGCAGCAGUAGGGAAUCUUCGGCAAUGGACGAAAGUCUGACCGAGCAACGCCGCGUGAGUGAAGAAGGUUUUCGGAUCGUAAAACUCUGUUGGUAGAGAAGAACGUUGGUGAGAGUGGAAAGCGCAUCAAGUGACGGUAACGACCCAGAAAGGGACGGCUAACUACGU
This 496-nucleotide ribosomal RNA is filed under the name uncultured bacterium. Its description in RNAcentral is "partial 16S ribosomal RNA". It matches the Rfam family "Bacterial small subunit ribosomal RNA", at positions 28 to 506 of the family's 1533-position model. The record is from RNAcentral.